Molecule: unclassified non-coding RNA, 404 nt
Filed under: soil metagenome
Description: partial contains 5.8S ribosomal RNA, internal transcribed spacer 2, and large subunit ribosomal RNA
Rfam family: 5.8S ribosomal RNA (bases 1-121)
Source: RNAcentral
GAUGAAGAACGUAGCGAAAUGCGAUAAGUAAUGUGAAUUGCAGAAUUCAGUGAAUCAUCGAAUCUUUGAACGCACCUUGCGCCCUUUGGCUAUUCCGAAGGGCAUGCCUGUUUGAGUAUCAUGAACACCUCAACUCUCAUGGUUUGCCAUGAUGAGCUUGGACUUUGGGGGUCUUGCCGGCCUAUGGGUCGGCUCCUCUCAAAUUAAUCAGCUUGCCAGUGUUUGGUGGCAUCACAGGUGUGAUAACUAUCUACGCUUGUGGUUUUCCAUCAGGUAACCUUCAGUGAUGGAGGUUCGCUGGGGCUCAUAAAUGUCUCUCCUCAGUGAGGACAGCUUUUUUGAACGUUUGAUCUCAUAUCAGGUAGGACUACCCGCUGAACUUAAGCAUAUCAAUAAGCGGAGGA